This 789-nucleotide ribosomal RNA is filed under the name Salmonella enterica. Its description in RNAcentral is "bacterial LSU rRNA". It matches the Rfam family "Bacterial large subunit ribosomal RNA", at positions 1 to 722 of the family's 2925-position model. Lineage: Bacteria; Pseudomonadati; Pseudomonadota; Gammaproteobacteria; Enterobacterales; Enterobacteriaceae. RNAcentral also lists the same sequence under 1 other name. The record is from RNAcentral.
GGGUUGUGAGGUUAAGCGACUAAGCGUACACGGUGGAUGCCCUGGCAGUCAGAGGCGAUGAAGGGCGUGCUAAUCUGCGAUAAGCGCCGGUAAGGUGAUAUGAACCGUUAUAACCGGCGAUACCCGAAUGGGGAAACCCAGUGUGAUUCGUCACACUAUCAUUAACUGAAUCCAUAGGUUAAUGAGGCGAACCGGGGGAACUGAAACAUCUAAGUACCCCGAGGAAAAGAAAUCAACCGAGAUUCCCCCAGUAGCGGCGAGCGAACGGGGAGGAGCCCAGAGCCUGAAUCAGCAUGUGUGUUAGUGGAAGCGUCUGGAAAGGCGCGCGAUACAGGGUGACAGCCCCGUACACAAAAGCGCAUGUGCUGUGAGCUCGAUGAGUAGGGCGGGACACGUGGUAUCCUGUCUGAAUAUGGGGGGACCAUCCUCCAAGGCUAAAUACUCCUGACUGACCGAUAGUGAACCAGUACCGUGAGGGAAAGGCGAAAAGAACCCCGGCGAGGGGAGUGAAAAAGAACCUGAAACCGUGUACGUACAAGCAGUGGGAGCCCCACCACUAAGCCAGUGGUGAACUCCACAUACGCAUCCUUUGCUGAGGAUACGGUUAACGGAGCGAAAGCGACGUUCAACCGCAAAAGAAGCAGAGGGGGCUUAGUGGUGGGGUGACUGCGUACCUUUUGUAUAAUGGGUCAGCGACUUAUAUUCUGUAGCAAGGUUAACCGAAUAGGGGAGCCGCAGGGAAACCGAGUCUUAAUUGGGCGUUAAGUUGCAGGGUAUAGACCCGAAACC